Molecule: non-coding RNA, 103 nt
Organism: Brugia malayi
Lineage: Eukaryota; Metazoa; Nematoda; Chromadorea; Rhabditida; Onchocercidae
Source: RefSeq, a predicted model, not a curated record
GACAGAGAGAGAGAGAGAGAGAGAGAGAAAGAGGGAGAGAGAUGACCUGAUUUGAAAUAAAUGGAAUUCCUCUUUUUUUUUUUCCUUUCCUUUCCUCUAUUAC